AGUCGAGCGGUAGAGAGAAGCUUGCUUCUCUUGAGAGCGGCGGACGGGUGAGUAAAGCCUAGGAAUCUGCCUGGUAGUGGGGGAUAACGUUCGGAAACGGACGCUAAUACCGCAUACGUCCUACGGGAGAAAGCAGGGGACCUUCGGGCCUUGCGCUAUCAGAUGAGCCUAGGUCGGAUUAGCUAGUUGGUGAGGUAAUGGCUCACCAAGGCGACGAUCCGUAACUGGUCUGAGAGGAUGAUCAGUCACACUGGAACUGAGACACGGUCCAGACUCCUACGGGAGGCAGCAGUGGGGAAUAUUGGACAAUGGGCGAAAGCCUGAUCCAGCCAUGCCGCGUGUGUGAAGAAGGUCUUCGGAUUGUAAAGCACUUUAAGUUGGGAGGAAGGGCAUUAACCUAAUACGUUAGUGUUUUGACGUUACCGACAGAAUAAGCACCGGCUAACUCUGUGCCAGCAGCCGCGGUAAUACAGAGGGUGCAAGCGUUAAUCGGAAUUACUGGGCGUAAAGCGCGCGUAGGUGGUUUGUUAAGUUGGAUGUGAAAUCCCCGGGCUCAACCUGGGAACUGCAUUCAAAACUGACUGACUAGAGUAUGGUAGAGGGUGGUGGAAUUUCCUGUGUAGCGGUGAAAUGCGUAGAUAUAGGAAGGAACACCAGCGGCGAAGGCGACCACCUGGACUAAUACUGACACUGAGGUGCGAAAGCGUGGGGAGCAAACAGGAUUAGAUACCCUGGUAGUCCACGCCGUACACGAUGUCAACUAGCCGUUGGGAGCCUUGAGCUCUUAGUGGCGCAGCUAACGCAUUAAGUUGACCGCCUGGGGAGUACGGCCGC
RNAcentral lists this ribosomal RNA (834 nucleotides) under uncultured bacterium. Its description in RNAcentral is "bacterial SSU rRNA". It matches the Rfam family "Bacterial small subunit ribosomal RNA", at positions 60 to 889 of the family's 1533-position model. The record is from RNAcentral.